AUGAACGCUAGCGCAGGCCUAACACAUGCAGUCGAGGGUAACAGGGAAAAGCUUGCUUUUCCGCUGACGACCGGCGCACGGGUGCGUAACGCGUAUGCAACCUACCUUUUACAGGAGUAUAGCCCAGAGAAAUUUGGAUUAAUCCUCCAUAAUAUCUUCAUCAUACAUAUGAUAAAGAUUAAAGCUUCGGUGGUAAAAGAUGGGCAUGCGGUUUUAUUUGCUAGUAGGUGAGGUAACGGCUCACCUAGGCCACGAUAAAUAGGGGCCCUGAGAGGGGGAUCCCCCACACUGGUACUGAGACACGGACCAGACUCCUACGGGAGGCAGCAGUGAGGAAUAUUGGACAAUGGACGAAAGUCUGAUCCAGCCAUGCCGCGUGCAGGAUGACGGCCCUAUGGGUUGUAAACUGCUUUUAUACAGGAAGAAACACUCCCACGUGUGGGGGCUUGACGGUACUGUACGAAUAAGGAUCGGCUAACUCCGUG
This 485-nucleotide ribosomal RNA is filed under the name uncultured bacterium. Its description in RNAcentral is "bacterial SSU rRNA". It matches the Rfam family "Bacterial small subunit ribosomal RNA", at positions 29 to 507 of the family's 1533-position model. The record is from RNAcentral.